This is a long non-coding RNA of Spea bombifrons (plains spadefoot toad), 649 nucleotides long. RefSeq lists it as uncharacterized. NCBI's taxonomy places the organism in Eukaryota, Metazoa, Chordata, Amphibia, Anura, Pelobatidae. The transcript has 2 exons. The record is from RefSeq and is a predicted model, not a curated record.
UGUUUUAUGGUUGAAUGCUAAAGGGCAGAACCCCCUUGUCUUGUUACUGCAUGUGGGGCAUUUUAUGGAGAGUGAUGUUGUAGAUGUGGGCAAACUGGUUGAAGUGCAGCUGAGCCAGACCUUGGCCCAGGUAGGACCUUGGCCCAGGUAUGCUGCCUCCUCCACCAAGACAGGCAACCUGGGUGGACAGAUUGCCAGAGGGGCAGCUCCCUAUAAAUAUUGGUUAUUGCUUAUCCUCGUCAGUGGGCACCUUCAGAAAAUGCAGGCCGCUGUACUCUCUAUGGAAAUAAAUGAAUAUGCAUCCUGUCGCUUUUCGAGCACAACUCACACUCCAAUGUAAUAUUAAGUUAUGUUUUUUUCUUCUUCUUAUAGGGCAUAAAAUUCUUAUGGUGACAAAGUUAACUUUUUACUGCUUUUAUUUUAUAUUCUGUUUUGUAUUUUCUAAUGAGGUUCCAAAACCAUUUUUUCUUAAGUUUUUCUAGAUUUAAAAUUUUGAAGGGCAUUUUAUAUUAAUUUUUUGUCAUUAGCACUAUAGGAAUUUUUUGUGACUUACAUCCCAUGUUUGUGUUUUUAUAUUAGGCGUUUACCAUUGUGCAUGUGACCUUGUUAUAGAUAAUGUACUCGAUUAAAAGUUUUGUUAUGAGGCAAA